RNAcentral lists this non-coding RNA (98 nucleotides) under uncultured Acidovorax sp. RNAcentral's name for it is "Glycine riboswitch". It matches the Rfam family "Glycine riboswitch aptamer", at positions 8 to 90 of the family's 94-position model. From Rfam's summary of the family: This family represents the bacterial glycine riboswitch. The record is from RNAcentral. Lineage: Bacteria; Pseudomonadati; Pseudomonadota; Betaproteobacteria; Burkholderiales; Comamonadaceae.
UUGCUGGAGAGAGGUGCCCCAACCGCAUGGCGGCGCCCACCGAAGGAGCAAACCCGCAUCGGCGGGUGAAUCUCUCAGGUAAAGAGGACAGCAGGGCA